GAGCGUUGCAACGUGAAGUCUCUGUUC
RNAcentral lists this small RNA (27 nucleotides) under Bombyx mori (domestic silkworm). Its description in RNAcentral is "ovarian small RNA-15844". Lineage: Eukaryota; Metazoa; Arthropoda; Insecta; Lepidoptera; Bombycidae. The record is from RNAcentral.